ACAAAGGCUCUUUUAAGAGCCACCAAUCUCUUCGGCAUUAAGAGU
Non-coding RNA from Otolemur garnettii (small-eared galago), 45 nucleotides. NCBI's taxonomy places the organism in Eukaryota, Metazoa, Chordata, Mammalia, Primates, Galagidae. The record is from Rfam.